Molecule: ribosomal RNA, 373 nt
Filed under: uncultured organism
Description: bacterial SSU rRNA
Rfam family: Bacterial small subunit ribosomal RNA
Source: RNAcentral
CGGUAGGGUGCGAGCGUUAAUCGGAAUUACUGGGCGUAAAGCGUGCGCAGGCGGUUUUGUAAGACAGGCGUGAAAUCCCCGGGCUCAACCUGGGAACUGCGCUUGUGACUGCAAGGCUAGAGUACGGCAGAGGGGGGUGGAAUUCCACGUGUAGCAGUGAAAUGCGUAGAGAUGUGGAGGAACACCAAUGGCGAAGGCAGCCCCCUGGGUCGAUACUGACGCUCAUGCACGAAAGCGUGGGUAGCAAACAGGAUUAGAUACCCUGGUAGUCCACGCCCUAAACGAUGUCAACUAGGUGUUGGGUGGGUAAAACCAUUUAGUACCGGAGCUAACGCGUGAAGUUGACCGCCUGGGGAGUACGGCCGCAAGGUUA